GACGGAGGGGGCAAGCGUUGUCCGGACUCACUGGGCGUAAAGCGUACGUAGGCGGCGCAGUGCGUCGGUGCUGAAAGCGCCAGGCUUAACCUGGCGAGGCGUGCCGAUACGACUGAUGCUGGAGGCAGGGAGAGGGUAGCGGAAUUCCGGGUGUAGUGGUGAAAUGCGUAGAGAUCCGGAGGAACGCCUGUGGCGCAAGCGGCUACCUGGCCCUGACCUGACGCUGAGGUACGAAAGCGUGGGGA
RNAcentral lists this ribosomal RNA (245 nucleotides) under uncultured bacterium. RNAcentral describes it as "partial 16S ribosomal RNA". It matches the Rfam family "Bacterial small subunit ribosomal RNA", at positions 524 to 767 of the family's 1533-position model. The record is from RNAcentral.